UACGUAGGGUGCGAGCGUUGUCCGGAAUUAUUGGGCGUAAAGAGCUUGUAGGCGGUUUGUCGCGUCUGCUGUGAAAUCCUGGGGCUUAACCCCGGGCGUGCAGUGGAUACGGGCUGGCUAGAGGCAGGCAGGGGGAGAACGGAAUUCCCGGUGUAGCGGUGAAAUGCGCAGAUAUCGGGAGGAACACCGGUGGCGAAGGCGGUUCUCUGGGCCUGUACUGACGCUGAGGAGCGAAAGCGUGGGGAGCGAACAGG
RNAcentral lists this ribosomal RNA (254 nucleotides) under uncultured bacterium. RNAcentral describes it as "partial 16S ribosomal RNA". It matches the Rfam family "Bacterial small subunit ribosomal RNA", at positions 524 to 776 of the family's 1533-position model. The record is from RNAcentral.